Molecule: ribosomal RNA, 396 nt
Filed under: uncultured bacterium
Lineage: Bacteria
Description: bacterial SSU rRNA
Rfam family: Bacterial small subunit ribosomal RNA
Source: RNAcentral
AGCGAACGCUGGCGGCGUGCUUAACACAUGCAAGUCGAGCGAAGGUGUUUCAAGGGUAACCUUGAGAUACACUUAGCGGCGGACGGGUGAGUAAUACGUGGAUAACUUACCUCUAGGCCUGGGAUAACCCCGGGAAACUGGGGCUAAUACCUGAUAAGACCACAUUGUCUACGGACAAAGGGGUAAAAGGUGGCUGUGCAAACAGCUAUCGCCAAAAGNUAGGUUCACGUCCCAUCAGGCAGUGGUGAGGUAAUGGCUCACCAAACCAAAGACGGGUAGCCGGCCUUGGCGGGUGAACGGCCACACGGGGACUGAGACACGGCCCCGACUCCUACGGGAGGCAGCAGUGGGGAAUAUUGGGCAAUGGGCGCAAGCCUGACCCAGCGACGUCGCGUU